Molecule: ribosomal RNA, 253 nt
Filed under: uncultured bacterium
Lineage: Bacteria
Description: partial 16S ribosomal RNA
Rfam family: Bacterial small subunit ribosomal RNA
Source: RNAcentral
UACGUAGGGCGCAAGCGUUAUCCGGAAUUAUUGGGCGUAAAGAGCUCGUAGGCGGUUUGUUGCGUCUGCCGUGAAAGUCCGGGGCUCAACUCCGGAUCUGCGGUGGGUACGGGCAGACUAGAGUGAUGUAGGGGAGACUGGAAUUCCUGGUGUAGCGGUGAAAUGCGCAGAUAUCAGGAGGAACACCGAUGGCGAAGGCAGGUCUCUGGGCAUUAACUGACGCUGAGGAGCGAAAGCAUGGGGAGCAAACAGG